RNAcentral lists this ribosomal RNA (456 nucleotides) under uncultured bacterium. Its description in RNAcentral is "bacterial SSU rRNA". It matches the Rfam family "Bacterial small subunit ribosomal RNA", at positions 340 to 786 of the family's 1533-position model. The record is from RNAcentral.
UACGGAAGGCAGCAGUGGGGAAUAUUGCACAAUGGGCGAAAGCCUGAUGCAGCUAUGCCGCGUGUAUGAAGAAGGCCUUAGGGUUGUAAAGUACUUUCAUCGGGGAGGAAAAAACAAAACUAAUAAUUUUAUUUCUUGACGUUACCCGAAAAAGAAGCACCGGCUAACUCCGUGCCAGCAGCCGCGGUAAUACGGAGGGUGCUAGCGUUAAUCAGAAUUACUGGGCGUAAAGAGCACGUAGGUGGUUUUUUUAAGUCAGAUGUGAAAUCCCUGGGCUUAACUUAGGAACUGCAUUUUGAAACUGAAAUACUAGAGUAUCGUAGAGGGAGGUAGAAUUCUAGGUGUAGCGGUGAAAUGCGUAGAUAUCUGGAGGAAUACCUGUGGCGAAAGCGGCCUCCUAAACGAAUACUGACACUGAGGUGCGAAAGCGUGGGGAGCAAACAGGGAUUAGAUACC